This 280-nucleotide small nuclear RNA is filed under the name Carlito syrichta (Philippine tarsier). RNAcentral's name for it is "7SK RNA (ENSTSYG00000021955.2)". It matches the Rfam family "7SK RNA", at positions 1 to 256 of the family's 331-position model. From Rfam's summary of the family: 7SK was discovered as an abundant small nuclear RNA in the mid-70s but a possible function has only recently been suggested. Two independent studies have found that 7SK RNA binds the CDK9/cyclin T complex (known as elongation factor P-TEFb). P-TEFb activates transcription by phosphorylating the C-terminal domain of RNA polymerase II. Lineage: Eukaryota; Metazoa; Chordata; Mammalia; Primates; Tarsiidae. The record is from RNAcentral.
GCAUGCGAGGGCGAUCUGGCUGUGACAUCUGUCACCCCAUUGAUGCCAGGGUUGAUUCGGCUGAUCUGGCUGACUAGGUGGGUGUCCCCUUCCUCCCUCACCACUCCAUGUGCAUCCCUCCCGAAGCUGUGUGCUCGGUCGAAGAGGACGACCCUCCCCGCUAGAGGAGGACCGUUCUUCGGUCAAGGGUAUAUGAGUAGCUGCGCUCCCCUGCUAGAACCUCCAAACAAGCUCCUUUUCAUUAGAGCCAAAGCUUUGCUGUGCUCAGGCUGGUCUCAAA